UACAGAGACUGCAAGCGUUAUUCGGAUUCACUGGGCGUAAAGGGCGCGUAGGCGGCCUGAUAAGUAGGGGGUGAAAUCCUGCGGCUUAACCGCAGGGCUGCCUUCUAAACUGUCGGGCUUGAGCACAGUAGAGGCAGGUGGAAUUCCCGGUGUAGCGGUGGAAUGCGUAGAGAUCGGGAAGAACAUCAGUGGCGAAGGCGGCCUGCUGGGCUGUUGCUGACGCUGAGGCGCGACAGCGUGGGGAGCAAACAGG
This 253-nucleotide ribosomal RNA is filed under the name uncultured bacterium. Its description in RNAcentral is "partial 16S ribosomal RNA". It matches the Rfam family "Bacterial small subunit ribosomal RNA", at positions 524 to 776 of the family's 1533-position model. The record is from RNAcentral.